AUAUGGCGGAAGCGUAUACCAGUUUGUCGAAAGAUGAUAAUACUAAGUUAUAUAGUUGUGGAACAGAAGUUAUAAAGUUUUUGUAUGAAUCUUUAUAGUUUUGUAGUUUGCUUCUAUGUAAUGCACUUAUUAUCAUUGUGCUGAUAACAUUGAUAAAUACUUUUAAAGUUUUAUUAGAGGGCAUAUCUUCGGAUGUGUAUCCUGAUAUUAUGAAAAAAGUUAUUUGUUAAUGGUGUUUAUCAAAGGUAAAAGAAGGUAGAAGUAUGAUGAGAUAUUUUAGUUAAUGCAUGCAUUAGUUUUAAUAUUUUGUUAUACUUUUAUUGGAUAAUAUUUUUGAUUAUCAGUAUAAAAGACAAUCACCUAUAUGUCCCGUCUUGAAACACGGACCAAGGAGUUUAUCGUAUGUGCGAGUCAUUGAGUGAUUAAAACUCAUAGGCGUAAUGAAAGUAAAGUUACCUUCUGGUAAUGAUAUGUGAUAGGUGAUCUUUGGAAAUCCUAGCAACAUAGUCCAAUCUAAUAAGCUUGCUUAUGGGUUGAGAUAGAGCAUAUGCGAUGAGACCCGAAAGAUGGUGAACUAUGCCUGAACAGGAUGAAGUCAGAGGAAACUCUGAUGGAAGUCCGAAGCGGUUCUGACGUGCAAAUCGAUCGUCUGAUUUGGGUAUAGGGGCGAAAGACUAAUCGAACCAUCUAGAGUGGGUUCCCCUUCCAAA
RNAcentral lists this ribosomal RNA (710 nucleotides) under Panagrolaimus sp. S91. Its description in RNAcentral is "partial large subunit ribosomal RNA". It matches the Rfam family "Eukaryotic large subunit ribosomal RNA", at positions 318 to 965 of the family's 3401-position model. The record is from RNAcentral. Lineage: Eukaryota; Metazoa; Nematoda; Chromadorea; Rhabditida; Panagrolaimidae.